CUCCUCUCCUCUCAAAUCCUCUCAAACACAGAAGAAAAUCAUCAGAGCAUACGAUUUUUUCUACCACAUAUGCGAUUCGUAUUUGGAACAUCUUCUCACUCAUACGAAUCGUACUCAGAUCAAGUAUCGUGCUAGAACGUACAAACGAUCAGGUUCUUCGUUUUUCUUCUGCAACAAAUCAUGGAUCUUCAUCAUCCAAAAUCGGAAGUAAACAAGGAGGUCACCAGGCUUGCAUGAAAGGGUGAGCUUGGUACAAUCUUUGCUCUUGGUAAAAUCAAUAAACAUUAGUUGAUGGAAGGGAAGGAGAUUUAUUUCUCAAACACAACCGAGAUAUCAAAUAAGUGAUAUACGUCAGGCCUGUGGCUAGAAUCAAGAUGAAAUAAAAGAUAUAUGCAAGGGGACUCCCAUGGAAAUGACAUCCCACUUCAGGACUAGAAUGAUUUCUCUCGAAUAAAUAUAUUAGUCGAGACUUAACAUCUCCCAUUGAUGUUUUGAACUGGGACCGUUAGCUCAUGACUCGGAACUCCUUAUUGCCAGUAUUAUAUAUAAAGUAUUUCAUCUACAUUUGAGAAAUAACAAUAAGACUGAACUUUUUUCUUUCCAAAGAGUUUUUUUUUUCCAAUUGGAAGUCAGUCCAAUUUUUUAGAUGAGUGGUGCAGUAGUGAAACAAGUUAUUCUUUAAAAUCCUUCAUUCAGGUACUACUCUGUUUCACAGAAGAAGAAAAAAGUAUAGAAAACCUUUCAUUCUGGAUCAUCUUAAUGAUGUUUUUUGCGACCGCAUAGAUGGUACUGAUGAGCUUGGUAACAUUACUCGUAAACUUAGUUCACUCAUUUUCUCGGUAAGUGCUGUAAUUUCUUCCUUUACAUUUAAAAAUAAGUGGUGCUCAGUAUCUGUUUUCAGUACUGCAACUUAGGAAUUGACUAAUGCGUGUUUUUUUUAACUACUGAUGCAUAUUUCAAUAAAUCAUUUUAAUCUCCUUUUAGGAAAGUAUUUACCUGAUUGGUAAGUAAAUCAAGACUAGAAAUUUUAAGUGAUUUGAAGACAAAUCGGAAAAAAGUGUUUUGUUUUCCAUUAGCAAACCUGGCCUGAAUUUGGCUACUGAACUUACCAUUACAGGCAUUCCUUAUGGUACUUCUUACUUUGCAAAUUAUUGAGACUGUUUAGACAUAUUGCUUUGUAGGGUUGUUUUCCAUUGUGGAUUAAAACAACUAAAAUAAGAAUGCGAAAAAGAAAGAGGAGUGGAUGGGAGAGUCUCAAUGCUUUUAUUAUUUUUUGCAUUUGAUAGUUUCAAGAGCUAUCUCAUCCAAGUAGGGAUGCAAGUAAUGAGAGAAAGUCAAGUCAUCCCAUGGCUGCAGUACUGGUGGAUUACGAAGGUUCAAACUCUAUUAAACCAGUCCCUCAGGUCAUGGUAACACAGACGAAGAACUGCUUUUCUAAAGGAGCUUAAUUUAUUCAAAUGGACAUCGGCUGCGUACAAGACACUAACCUCUUUUUCAAACUUUUCGUGUUGAUGGAGGACAUGGUACUAUCUUACAUAAUGCAGUGGCUCAAGAUGACUUUGGGGUGCUUGGGGUGUUGACAUACAUACCCAACAUUCAAACAAGGAAAAAAAAUGACGAGAAGCAGCAGAAGAUGCCUGAACUGACAAUACUCCUCCAUUUUGCUUUUACGUUUAUCCUUAUAAAUUAUUCAACUCCAGGAUGAAGAAUGAAAAAUCUAUCAUCUUAUUGCAUGCAACUGAAAAAUAGAAUUUAAUAUAUAUAUUCCUCAUUUUUCAGCCACCUCCAAGUAGCCUUUUAUUGCCAUU
Molecule: long non-coding RNA, 1808 nt
Organism: Papaver somniferum (opium poppy)
Lineage: Eukaryota; Viridiplantae; Streptophyta; Magnoliopsida; Ranunculales; Papaveraceae
Exons: 6
Source: RefSeq, a predicted model, not a curated record